This is a non-coding RNA of Drosophila melanogaster (fruit fly), 644 nucleotides long. Lineage: Eukaryota; Metazoa; Arthropoda; Insecta; Diptera; Drosophilidae. The record is from Ensembl.
ACUCACUACACUGACGGAAAAUUAGGGAUACGCGUUUGAAUAAUUUACACUUUUUAUUUUAUUUCGGCACUCAAGAACUCCAAAAUGUUUAUAGUUGUAUAAAGGAUCCUGUUAAUCCUAUGAAGUAACUAUUAAUAUUCAAUGGUUGUAUGCAAUCUGUGCUGUCCAGUGUUCCUUCUAGCUGGCACAAAGAUGUACGAGUUCGAAGUUAGUCGGAGCUGCCAUGUUCUUGCAAAUUUAUAAGCACCCCACAUCCUGUUUUCCUUUUGGCCGCGCAUUUUACGACAGUCCUGGGUAUACUGGGCAUCCUGGACGCCCGGGGGCUCCAGGACUCGGGCGUUAGAUUGAUGAUGCAGGUGAAUUACGCGCCGCUCAAGUGAUGUACGAGUAUGUAUGGCCAAUUCAGCUGGCUGGCUUUUAAUUGAAAACCGAAAUGACUUUUGGUCCGGAAAAAGCGGGCGUGGCUGUGUCUCGUUGAUUUUAUGCUAAUCCAUGCAACUCAGAAGCUGAGUGGCGCAAAGUCCAGCGCAAAGUUACCCAAGUCAUUGAAAUUCUGCAUAAAAUUAAGCGGCUCCAUCUCCCCUCGAAAAUGUCAAAGCAAAAUAAACAGUCUCUUCUUUUUUUUUUUUUUUUUGUCGACUGAU